RNAcentral lists this ribosomal RNA (570 nucleotides) under uncultured Cellulomonas sp. Its description in RNAcentral is "bacterial SSU rRNA". It matches the Rfam family "Bacterial small subunit ribosomal RNA", at positions 338 to 918 of the family's 1533-position model. The record is from RNAcentral. Lineage: Bacteria; Bacillati; Actinomycetota; Actinomycetes; Micrococcales; Cellulomonadaceae.
CCUACGGGAGGCAGCAGUGGGGAAUAUUGCACAAUGGGCGAAAGCCUGAUGCAGCGACGCCGCGUGGGGGACGAAGGCCUUCGGGUUGUAAACCCCUUUCAGCAGGGAAGAAGCGAGAGUGACGGUACCUGCAGAAGAAGCGCCGGCUAACUACGUGCCAGCAGCCGCGGUAAUACGUAGGGCGCAAGCGUUGUCCGGAAUUAUUGGGCGUAAAGAGCUCGUAGGCGGUUUGUCGCGUCUGCUGUGAAAACCCGAGGCUCAACCUCGGGCCUGCAGUGGGUACGGGCAGACUAGAGUGCGGUAGGGGAGACUGGAAUUCCUGGUGUAGCGGUGGAAUGCGCAGAUAUCAGGAGGAACACCGAUGGCGAAGGCAGGUCUCUGGGCCGCAACUGACGCUGAGGAGCGAAAGCAUGGGGAGCGAACAGGAUUAGAUACCCUGGUAGUCCAUGCCGUAAACGUUGGGCACUAGGUGUGGGGCUCAUUCCACGAGUUCCGUGCCGCAGCUAACGCAUUAAGUGCCCCGCCUGGGGAGUACGGCCGCAAGGCUAAAACUCAAAUGAAUUGACGGGG